UCCGAGUUGACCCCGGCAGUCUCCUACGAGUCCCCGGCAUUACCCGCUGGCAACAUAGGACAAGGGUUGCGCUCGUUGCGGGACUCAACCCAACAUCUCACGACACGAGCUGACGACAGCCAUGCACCACCUGUGCGGGACCCCGAAGGACACCGUAUCUCUACGGCUUUCCCGUGCAUGUCAAGCCCAGGUAAGGUUCUUCGCGUUGCUUCGAAUUAAUCCACAUGCUCCGCCGCUUGUGCGGGCCCCCGUCAAUUCAUUUGAGUUUUAACCUUGCGGCCGUACUCCCCAGGCGGUCGACUUAUCGCGUUAACUGCGCCACUAAGAACUCGAGGCUCCCAACGGCUAGUCGACAUCGUUUACGGCGUGGACUAC
This 375-nucleotide unclassified non-coding RNA is filed under the name uncultured bacterium. RNAcentral describes it as "contains 16S-23S intergenic spacer region". The record is from RNAcentral.